GACGAACGCUGGCGGCGUGCUUAACACAUGCAAGUCGAACGGUAAGGCCCUUCGGGGUACACGAGUGGCGAACGGGUGAGUAACACGUGGGUGAUCUGCCCUGCACUUCGGGAUAAGCCCGGGAAACUGGGUCUAAUACCGGAUAGGGCCACUGCCUGCAUGGGUGGUGGUGGAAAGCUUGUGCGGUGUGGGAUGGGACCGCGGCCUAUCAGCUUGUUGGUGGGGUGAUGGCCUACCAAGGCGACGACGGGUAGCCGGCCUGAGAGGGUGACCGGCCACACUGGGACUGAGAUACGGCCCAGGCUCCUACGGGAGGCAGCAGUGGGGAAUAUUGCACAAUGGGCGCAAGCCUGAUGCAGCGACGCCGCGUGAGGGAUGACGGCCUUCGGGUUGUAAACCUCUUUCAGCACCGACGAAGCGCAAGUGACGGUAGGUGCAGAAGAAGGACCGGCCAACUACGUGCCAGCAGCCGCUGUAA
Molecule: ribosomal RNA, 478 nt
Filed under: uncultured bacterium
Lineage: Bacteria
Description: partial 16S ribosomal RNA
Rfam family: Bacterial small subunit ribosomal RNA
Source: RNAcentral